CGGGGCGUGGCUCAGCUUGGUAGAGCGCACGGUUCGGGACCGUGAA
RNAcentral lists this transfer RNA (46 nucleotides) under Deltaproteobacteria bacterium GWD2_55_8. Its description in RNAcentral is "tRNA-Pro". The record is from RNAcentral. Lineage: Bacteria; Deltaproteobacteria.